AUCUCUGUGGUCAACAAUAUUGUUAUGCCCGAGGUCAGAGGUGGAAAUUAACGAAUUACAUUUACUCACGUUAUUGUAAUUGAGUAUUUUUUUGUGUAUGUAUACUUUUUUAGUCGUUUUGAAUAUCUGUACUUUCACUUUUACUUGAGUAUUUUAUAAAAAAAAACAAUUGUAAUUCGCUACAUUUUAAAUCGUAUCUGUUACUAAGUAAAAAUAAAUUGUAGACUUAAUAAAUUAAAAAUAUUGCAUGUCGCAGCGUGGGAACAGAAAGAGACACCUGCACGAGCGCCACGUCUAAACGGGGGGUGGGGGGUGUAUACACUUGAUAAUGAGGACAAACAGCUAUCUUUACCGAGUUUUGCUCAAAAACCUCAGUUCUGUCCUUGUGAUCCACACUCGCUGUUUACCUCCUGUCUCCCUCCUCUCCUGUGGGUUGGAACUCGCACCUUCGCGCACCGGUGUGACGUCAUCAGAAUUCUGCUCCGUUCGGUAGCCGGACUCGGUUCCGUGUUUGAAAUGUGUUUCCUUUCCGCUCCGCACGGCAGCGUCAAAAUAACGUUUAGCGCUCAUAACAAGCGGGUUCUCAGCGCUUUGCUCAUAAAACAGAAGACCUGCAGGCCUCUCUAGAAGAGAAUCCAAGGAUCAUGCAGAGAUGCCAGAGGUUUGGCCUUUGCACGAUGAAGUCUAGAACUUCAGGAGGAACAGCGGAGUGCUGCUGUCAAUAUUCUAAGACUUAUACAUGACCCGCUGACCAGCCACAUGGAGAUGGUGACCGAGAUCGUUGUUCCCACCGUGUGCACACUCUGUAUUCUGCUCAGCGCCAUCUUCCUUCUGUUCCUGCUGAGAAGAAGAAACUAGAAAGUGUGUGUGUGUGUGUGUGUGUGUGUGUGUGUGUGUGUGUGUGUGUGUGUGUUUACAAUCAUAGUUUGUACAAACUCACAUGGAUGCAGUGGAAGUGCAACAUUUCUUUAAUUUUAUUUGUGAAAGGAUGAAUAAGUUUCUGAAGUGAAUUUAAACCACUAAUCUGAUGACUUUACAGUGUUUUGAUGUUUUAGUUCAGCUGCAACAUGCAAAAUGACCUUUUCUGUUUUUAUUUUGUUUAAAUGUGGAGUACUGUUAUUGCAACCAUGUAAUCUACAGUCUAAAUUAAACAGAGUUUAGCUUUCUAAAUGAAUAAUGUGGUAAAUGAACUAGAAAAUAAACGUCAUCACCUACGAAACAGAAACUCUUCACUGAAAACACAAACACACACAUAGAUCCAGCUGUGGUCGCUCCAGGUUCGAUGGAAUGAUUUCAGUCCAUCUAGAUUGAACUGUUAAUAUUUCAAACAAUGUUCAAUACUAUUAAGAAUAUUAAACACAAACAUCUACUUUGUUGUUCAGUUAUUUUGUGCUUUGUAAAUUCAUACAAAGCUGACGAAGCUGCAGCACACCACUGUGGAAAAACAGCCGGCUCCUCCAUGUCCCCGUUGAUCGCUUCACUUGGGUAAUCUAAAACCGAGAAGAUUAAAGUCAGAUGUGCUUCACUGGUUCAGUCACUACUAGUGUUCUUUUAUUUGAAUAUUUUAAAAAACCCACCUGUUUUAAAGGUGACGGGAGCCACCAGUGGUCUGUUACUGAGCUGUAAGGACGUCCGAACCUCACGAGGACCUUGACCGCUGGACACUUCAGCCCCCCACAUCAUUGGGUGUUCGUUGCAGAAACGAUGCAUUAACACAAAAACAAGCUAAGGACAAUUGGCUCAUUUGAGCAAAAAGACACAAAAGCAAAAGUAUUUAGUUUAUGAAUGAGAUUAACCUUCAAUUAAAAAAAUGCUCUGCUUCAUUCUUUUUCUCAACAAAAAUAAUGUCUAAAUUCUCCAUCUACUUAUUAAAAUAAGAUUU
Long non-coding RNA from Nothobranchius furzeri (turquoise killifish), 1882 nucleotides. RefSeq lists it as uncharacterized. NCBI's taxonomy places the organism in Eukaryota, Metazoa, Chordata, Actinopteri, Cyprinodontiformes, Nothobranchiidae. The record is from RefSeq and is a predicted model, not a curated record.